UUGACCUCGGAUCAGGUAGGAAGACCCGCUGAACUUAAGCAUAUCAAUAAGGCGGAAAGAAGAAUUUUACAGAGUUGCAAAACUCCCAAACCAUUGAUGAACCUACCCUCAACGUUUUGCUUCGGCGGGCGGGCCCGGGCC
Molecule: ribosomal RNA, 141 nt
Filed under: Parathielavia coactilis
Lineage: Eukaryota; Fungi; Ascomycota; Sordariomycetes; Sordariales; Chaetomiaceae
Description: Thielavia coactilis partial 28S ribosomal RNA
Source: RNAcentral